Molecule: ribosomal RNA, 482 nt
Filed under: uncultured bacterium
Lineage: Bacteria
Description: bacterial SSU rRNA
Rfam family: Bacterial small subunit ribosomal RNA
Source: RNAcentral
GAUGAACGCUAGCGGCAGGCCUAACACAUGCAAGUCGAGGGGCAUCGCGGGUAGCAAUACCUGGUGGCGACCGGCGCAAGGGUGCGUAACGCGUGAGCAACAUGCCCUAUACAGGGGGAUAAUCCAGGGAAACUUGGUCUAAUAUCCCAUAGUAUUUAGAGGUGGCAUCACCACUAAAUUAAAGCUUCGGUGGUAUAGGAUUGGCUCGCGUGACAUUAGCUGGAUGGUGGGGUAACGGCUCACCAUGGCGAUGAUGUCUAGGGGUUCUGAGAGGAAGGCCCCCCACACUGGGACUGAGACACGGCCCAGACUCCUACGGGAGGCAGCAGUGAGGAAUAUUGGACAAUGGAUGGAAAUCUGAUCCAGCCAUGCCGCGUGCAGGAAGACGGCCCUAUGGGUUGUAAACUGCUUUUAUAUGGGAGCAAUAAGGUUUACGCGUAGACCGAUGAGAGUACCAUAUGAAUAAGCAUCGGCUAACUCCG